GGCCAAGACCCAGAAAUAUCAUCUGUUGCCUCUACUUAUCUAGCAUUCUCUCUUCCUGAUCUAGUUCUCCAAUCCUUUAUUAAUCCUCUCAAAAUCUAUCUGAGAACUCAAAACAUAACCCUGCCUCUCAUGCUCAGUGCAGCUUUUGCUCUAGUUUUUCAUGCUCCUAUCAACCAAAUCCUUGUCUAUCACCUUAGCCUUGGCAUUCAAGGCAUUGCUGUGGCAGUAACUGUAACAGACUUGAAUCUUCUUGCUGCCCUUUUGAUUUACCUUUGCUUCUCAGGCAUCUGUCGCGAAUCAUGGCAAGGCUGGUCGCUUCAAUGCUUCGAUGAAUGGAAGCCCAUUCUUGGCCUAGCAAUCCCUAGUUGCAUCUCUGUGUGCUUAGAAUGGUGGUGGUACGAGCUUAUGAUAGUUCUUUCAGGGCUCCUAACAAAUGCUUCUGAGGCAGUUGCCACCAUGGGAAUUCUAAUGCAAGCAACUUCUCUUGUCUAUAUCUUCCCUUCGGCCCUUAGCCUAGCCGUCUCAACUCGAGUAGGGAAUGGAUUAGGGUCGAACCACCCUAGCAAAGCCAAAACCUCAUCCGUCGUUGCUUUAUCAUGUGCAAUCUUCAUGAGUUCCAUUGCCAUGCUUUUCAUGACAUCAAUGAGGCUUGCAUGGGGACAAAUUUUUACCACAGAUAACACAAUAUUGUCACUAACAGCCACGGCCAUGCCGGUGGUGGGGCUAUGUGAGCUUGGUAACUGUCCACAGACCACCGGCUGUGGUGUGCUCAGAGGCAGUGCUAGGCCAAGUCUUGGAGCCAACAUAAAUUUGGGUUCUUUUUACGGUAUAGGAUUGCCUAUUGCUAUAUUGAUGGGCUUUAUGAUGGGCUUGGGCCUGUUGGGCCUGUGGUUGGGCUUGCUGGCAGCCCAGGUUGUUUGUGCUAUUGUCAUGGUUGUGGUGUUGAUGAGGACAGAUUGGGAAGUAGAAGCAAAUAGAGCCAGAGAGCUUACUGGCAUAGUUGAUGAGGUGGGUGAAGCUGAAUCUGAAUCUGAGAGUAAAAGAAAAACACUUCGAGGAUUAAUAUCAAUCCCUCUUGUUGAUUAGAAAGUAAUCAACUUUGAAAAAUUAUUAGGUGCACACACCAUCUUUUAUAAUCACGUGAGACUCACUCUUUAUAUUAUAAAGAGAUCUACUUUUCUGUGAUAGGAAGAGC
RNAcentral lists this unclassified non-coding RNA (1195 nucleotides) under Hevea brasiliensis (rubber tree). The record is from RNAcentral. Lineage: Eukaryota; Viridiplantae; Streptophyta; Magnoliopsida; Malpighiales; Euphorbiaceae.